AUAACUAAGCGGAGGAAAAGAAACUAACCAGGAUUCCCCCAGUAACGGCGAGUGAAGCGGGAAGAGCUCAUGAUGUAAACCCGGCCCUCGGGUCGGGUUGUAGUCUGGAGAGGCGUUGCCAGCCGGCGGCGGGGUCGAAGUCUCUUGGAAAAGAGCAUCAAGGAGGGUGACAAUCCCGUUCCGGUCCCCGCUCGUUGUGCGUACGGUGCGCUUUCUACGAGUCGAGUUGCUUGGGAUUGCAGCUCAAAGCGGGUGGUAAAUUCCAUCUAAAGCUAAAUACCGGUGGGAGACCGAUAGCGAACAAGUACCGUGAGGGAAAGAUGCAAAGAACUUUGAAAAGAGAGUUAAAGAGUGCCUGAAAUUGCUGAAAGGGAAGCGAAGGAAGCCAGUGUCUGGCGGUUCUGCUUCUCCGACGGUCUCCGGACCGUCGGGUUGCGCUUCCGCUGUUGCCAGGGCCGGGUCGGGCCGCGGGAAUCGGCGUCCCUGGGAGGUACGCCUCUUCGGAGGUGGAAUGCCGGGGUGCUCUCCGUCGCGGCCUUGGGCUGGUCCUGACAAAAUGGCUUUCUUCAC
RNAcentral lists this ribosomal RNA (570 nucleotides) under Sargassum muticum. RNAcentral describes it as "eukaryotic LSU rRNA". It matches the Rfam family "Eukaryotic large subunit ribosomal RNA", at positions 42 to 647 of the family's 3401-position model. The record is from RNAcentral. Lineage: Eukaryota; Phaeophyceae; Fucales; Sargassaceae.